Molecule: long non-coding RNA, 231 nt
Filed under: Oryzias sinensis (Chinese medaka)
Lineage: Eukaryota; Metazoa; Chordata; Actinopteri; Beloniformes; Adrianichthyidae
Description: lncRNA (ENSOSIG00000003638.1)
Source: RNAcentral
GGUUUCUGAUUACAGGGAGGAGACAUAAACACACAUAUAAGGGGGCGGAGCUCUGCUCAGGUGUUGCUGAAUCAGGAAAUGAGGAAGUUGAGAGUUUUCCUCCAUGUCAGAGCAGACAGAGCAGGACGAGACGGUGGCUCCAACUUUCUUCUUCAUGGUGUGUGUGAGCUGAUGUGGAUCCAGUGAAUCCAGCAGCAUGGAUCAGUGGGAGGACACACAGGAGGGAGCCCC